RNAcentral lists this ribosomal RNA (434 nucleotides) under uncultured bacterium. RNAcentral's name for it is "partial 16S ribosomal RNA". It matches the Rfam family "Bacterial small subunit ribosomal RNA", at positions 29 to 506 of the family's 1533-position model. The record is from RNAcentral.
AACGAACGCUGGCGGCAUGCCUAACACAUGCAAGUCGAACGAUUGCCUUCGGGUGAUAGUGGCGCACGGGUGCGUAACGCGUGGGAAUCUGCCCUUAGGUUCGGAAUAACAGCUGGAAACGGCUGCUAAUACCGGAUGAUAUCGCGAGAUCAAAGAUUUAUCGCCUGAGGAUGAGCCCGCGUUGGAUUAGGUAGUUGGUGGGGUAAAGGCCUACCAAGCCGACGAUCCAUAGCUGGUCUGAGAGGAUGAUCAGCCACACUGGGACUGAGACACGGCCCAGACUCCUACGGGAGGCAGCAGGGGGGAAUAUUGGACAAUGGGCGCAAGCCUGAUCCAGCAAUGCCGCGUGAGUGAUGAAGGCCCGAGGGUUGUAAAGCUCUUUUACCCGGGAAGAUAAUGACUGUACCGGGAGAAUAAGCCCCGGCUAACUCCGU